AUCAAAUAUAUUUCACUUAAAAGAUAUUUUCAAUUUGUAUAUUACACUAAAUCUUAAAAUUUUAUCUAUAUAAAAUGUUAGUUAGGAUUGUAAAGAGCACUAAGACAAAUUUUAUAAUAAAAUAAAUUAAAGUAGUUUAGUUUAUAUAAGUUCACAUCAGGGUCACAUCAGGUUGAUUUUCGUUUAUAUAGACUGUCAAAUACCUUCACUUAAAGGCGAUAUUCAAUUUGUAUAUACAUUAAAUCUCAAAAUUCUCCCUAUAUAAAACGUAUUUAAGACUGUAACGAGCAGGAAGACAAAAUUUAUUAAAAAAUAAAUUAAAAUAUUCAGUUGAUAUAAGUUCACAUCAGGUUCACAUAAGGUUCACAUCAGGUUGAUUUUCGGUUUUAUGGACUGUCGAACACAUUUCACUUAAAAGACAUAUUCAAUUUGUAUAUUACACUAAAUCUCAAAAUUCUCUCAAUAUAAAAUAUCAGUUAAAAUCGUAAAGAGCAACAAGACAAAUUUUAUUAAAAAAAGAUAGUUCAGUUGAUAUAGUUCACAUCAGAUUCAUAUCAGGUUGACUUUUUAGUUAAUUAUUAAUUAUUUUGUCAAUCCACAAGUUUAUUUUCAAUAAAAUAAAUGUUUAAUAAAUUAAUUUCAACAUUAGUCAUCAAUUUAUUAAAAAAUUAUUUUAAUUUAUAUUAUUUUAUACGUUUAUAUUAAGUUCACAUUUAGUCUAUAUGAACAUCAAUUAGCCUUCAUCUCUCCUAUGGAACCGUUUGAAACAUUGAUCAAGCCACCUAGAUUAACACUUGAGUUCUGAAAUUUCUCAAAACAUGUCAUGCAUAGAAAAAUAUAAGUUUUAUUGUAGGCUCUAACAUUUUUCCACUACCUGUCUCCAUUUAAGGCUUUCAAACCAUCUUAAUUUGCCUCCUCAUUAGCAUUCCUCAGUUAAUGAAUUCACAUAGAACAAACACAAAUUAUCAUAGGAGUCAAACAUGGGCAUCAUUAUUUGUCUCUAAUGACUCUCCCAUCUGCAUCCCAGAAUAGCCACUGAAACUUGCUCUCCUUGAUGAAUCACACACCUUCAUAUAGUGAUAAUUGUCACUUGAGAUUGGAUUUAUCAUAUGAGUCAACCAUGGACAUCCAUAUUUAUUGUUUAAAAUUUUUCCUAUAAGCAUGUUCAAAUUUGUUGCUUCUGUCGGGUCUUCUACUCCUAUCACAGUUUUUCUUAUAAGCAUGACAAAUGAUUUUAUUACUGGUAUGUGCUUCCAAUUUAUAUCUCUAUUAUUUUAGUUGUUUUGUGACUAUAGUUUUCAUUAGCAAAGCACAUGUUCUUCUUGAUUUAACGUGGAAUGCUAUUUGUCAAGUUCAUGAUAGUAUUAAAUUUAAUUUGAAAUUUAUAUCACUUUCAAUACUCUGAUCUACAAUUAUUUUUCUUCCUUUGCCGAGCUUCUUACUUUGUCACUGCCAUCAUCAUUACUAAAAACAACAGAAGAGCUUUUAAAUACUUGCAACCAGCAAAUUGAUGAAGCUCCGGUCAAAAAGAAAUUAGAUCGCCGGCGGUCCGAUCACCACCAACAAUCACGCCAUCAGAUCACGAUCAGACCAAGCUCGCCAUAAAGUGAUGGAGUAAUGGAGGAAGUGAAGAAAAAAAAACGUAGAGAAGAAGAGAAAGUGGGGAAGGGAGGGGGGAUUGAGUGUAUGAAGUACAUAAUAGUAAAUGUAGAACAGCAGCUAUAGAGCAGGGUUAAUUAAGUAACUUGCAAAUGAAAGGGGUAGAGCUGAAAAUGGAAAAUUAAAAAAGAGGGAUUUUUGCUAAAAAUAUUAUGAUGGGUCACUAACAUAAACUUUUCAGAUUUUGGGGUAUAUGGUGACAUUUUCUCUUUU
Molecule: long non-coding RNA, 1872 nt
Organism: Mercurialis annua (annual mercury)
Lineage: Eukaryota; Viridiplantae; Streptophyta; Magnoliopsida; Malpighiales; Euphorbiaceae
Exons: 2
Source: RefSeq, a predicted model, not a curated record